GGGUUGUGAGGUUAAGCGACUAAGCGUACACGGUGGAUGCCCUGGCAGUCAGAGGCGAUGAAGGGCGUACUAAUCUGCGAUAAGCGCCGGUAAGGUGAUAUGAACCGUUAUAACCGGCGAUACCCGAAUGGGGAAACCCAGUGUGAUUCGUCACACUAUCAUUAACUGAAUCCAUAGGUUAAUGAGGCGAACCGGGGGAACUGAAACAUCUAAGUACCCCGAGGAAAAGAAAUCAACCGAGAUUCCCCCAGUAGCGGCGAGCGAACGGGGAGGAGCCCAGAGCCUGAAUCAGCAUGUGUGUUAGUGGAAGCGUCUGGAAAGGCGCGCGAUACAGGGUGACAGCCCCGUACACAAAAGCGCAUGUGCUGUGAGCUCGAUGAGUAGGGCGGGACACGUGGUAUCCUGUCUGAAUAUGGGGGGACCAUCCUCCAAGGCUAAAUACUCCUGACUGACCGAUAGUGAACCAGUACCGUGAGGGAAAGGCGAAAAGAACCCCGGCGAGGGGAGUGAAAAAGAACCUGAAACCGUGUACGUACAAGCAGUGGGAGCACCCUUUGGGUGUGACUGCGUACCUUUUGUAUAAUGGGUCAGCGACUUAUAUUCUGUAGCAAGGUUAACCGAAUAGGGGAGCCGGAGGGAAACCGAGUCUUAACCGGGCGUUAAGUUGCAGGGUAUAGACCCGAAACCCGGUGAUCUAGCCAUGGGCAGGUUGAAGGUUGGGUAACACUAACUGGAGGACCGAACCGACUAAUGUUGAAAAAUUAGCGGAUGACCUGUGGCUGGGGGUGAAAGGCCAAUCAAACCGGGAGAUAGCUGGUUCUCCCCGAAAGCUAUUUAGGUAGCGCCUCGUGAAUUCAUCUCCGGGGGUAGAGCACUGUUUCGGCUAGGGGGCCAUCCCGGCUUACCAACCCGAUGCAAACUGCGAAUACCGGAGAAUGUUAUCACGGGAGACACACGGCGGGUGCUAACGUCCGUCGUGAAGAGGGAAACAACCCAGACCGCCAGCUAAGGUCCCAAAGUCAUGGUUAAGUGGGAAACGAUGUGGGAAGGCCCAGACAGCCAGGAUGUUGGCUUAGAAGCAGCCAUCAUUUAAAGAAAGCGUAAUAGCUCACUGGUCGAGUCGGCCUGCGCGGAAGAUGUAACGGGGCUAAACCAUGCACCGAAGCUGCGGCAGCGACACUGUGUGUUGUUGGGUAGGGGAGCGUUCUGUAAG
RNAcentral lists this ribosomal RNA (1213 nucleotides) under Salmonella enterica subsp. enterica serovar Enteritidis. RNAcentral describes it as "partial 23S ribosomal RNA". It matches the Rfam family "Bacterial large subunit ribosomal RNA", at positions 1 to 1247 of the family's 2925-position model. The record is from RNAcentral. Lineage: Bacteria; Pseudomonadati; Pseudomonadota; Gammaproteobacteria; Enterobacterales; Enterobacteriaceae.